AUGACGGAAAUAGAAUGGAUAUCAAAGCCUAUGGAAUAUGGAACUGUAAAGUUUACAUGUCUAGAAGAAACUGUAGAACAUCCUCUAAAACCAGUUGUAAUUACUCUGAUUGAUGGACGUGGUGCAGUUAGACGCAAUAUAUUGCGUAGCACUAGCACAGGUUCCUCUACUGGGACACCAACGCCGACACAUACACCGAUUCCUGCAAAUCCACUGAGUGAUCCACUGCUGAGUCAUUCUUCUCUGGAUGGUUCUGAUCCCCUCACACAGUUUGCUCGUGAAGAACUAGAUCCUCUCUCCAAAAUGGCUGCAGAUGAAUGGGAUUACUCUUGUAAUGUUGCAUCAGCCAGCAAAAAACUGAAAGAUACAGCAGAGGAAUUGGUAGAGCCAUGGUCUGUUAGACGUUCUGCCAUAUUGAGCAAAUACACAACUUCUGAAAAAUUAUCAAUUGUUACCAGUUUUUUAUCAGGUGGAGAAAAAGUUGUAGUAAAAGUUCAGCCAAGUGGCCCAAUGGUUGACAAAGUGAAAACGCGACUAGAGCAAUUGGAUGACUUCGAGGAAGGCUCUGUCAGACAAAUGCUAGAUCUGUCGCAACAACAAUAUACUGCACGAAUCGAGCAAUUGAACAACGAAUUAGUACAAGCAUGGCAUUCUGACCAAAGAGUAAAAGCUCUGAAAAUAGCUAUUCAGUGUGCUAAAUUAUUAGUAGAUACGUCUGUGAUGAAUUUCUAUCCAAGCAAGUUUGUUCUCAUCACAGAUAUUUUAGAUAUCUUUGGGAAACUUGUAUACGAGAGAUUGAAAAUGAAGGCUGAAUAUUAUAAACCAGGUAGCAAAAUACCCACGAGUUUACCCGAUAAUUUUACACCCGACAUGGUUCCAGAGAACGCGAAGGAGACAUGUCGGAAUUGGUUUUACAAAAUAGCUUCUAUACGCGAGCUAGUACCGCGUCUAUAUGUAGAGAUGGCUAUAAUAAAAUCGUAUAGUUUCCUAACGACGAGCGAAUUUAAUACCGCUCUAUUACGUAUAACUCGUAUGAUAAGAGGAAUUGGGAACCCGUUGAUAGCGGUUUACGCGCGAUGCUACUUGUGCCGCGUGGGAUUGGCGUUGAACAAAACUUCAGAUUUUGAAUUCGUAAGAGAGAAUCUGUAUGACUUUCUGUUUACAUAUCAGCAGUUGUUCGGAGCUGCUGUGAGGAGUGAAUUAGCGAAGCAAAAUGUCACUCUACACUCUUAUCUGAAUCUCUACUCGCCGGCAUUGGAUUGGAUUGUACAAGUUUUGGUGGCAACGUUGCCUGAGAGUUUUCUCGAAGAAGUCUUGUCUCGAUGUAGAAAGCAAGAAAAUGGAUCAUUGUUGUUGAAUACUGUGCUGACUGCAUUUAAGCCGACGUACAUCGCCGCACGCGCGAUGGAUUUCGUGAAUCUAAUAGUGGCGAGCGAAGACGAUGGAUAUCCUCAGUAUCUCUUGUAUCGCAGUUUGGGCGAGUGUCUCGUGCGAGAGUCUCCGCCGAAAGAGGAUUGUCAGUCGGUGCUCAACGUGAUAUGGAAAUACGUCACGGAGCUCACAGAUCCCAACAAGUUCAUGCAUUGCAUCGAGAUCUGGAUUCAGUUCACCGUUAUACAUUUUUCUGUGAAUGAGCUCAAUUUGUUUUUCGGCAAAAUAAUAGAUCGCUUACGGCCGAACAAAGCUUUCGAGAACUAUUAUCCGCAAUUGCAGAAUAUCGUUGAGAAGAUAGUCACCCAUACACAAGACUUUGAGUCACUACUCGCUGUAGACAACUUCUUGCCGUUAAUAGAUCUGUUUCACAAAGAAAGUAUCAAAGUUGAGGUUUGCAAGACUGUUAUAGAAGGAUUGAGUGCGCAAAGUGGGUCCAUUACGGACCCCAUUAUUAUAAACGCACUAAUGUUUAUCGCUAGGAUCAUGCAUGAUUCUGUUAGCGCUUUAACUGUCGAGGAUGAGAAACGACAAAUCGGGCAACUGAUAUGCGGUCUCGUGCAACGAGUGGAUUACGGUCGUGAUUUUGAGAAGCAGCUAAGUUUCUACGCGGAAGCCAGGGCAGCGUUUCCUAAUCUCGAUAGUGUUCAUAUACAGCUUGUACAGUGUGUAAAUAGAUUAUCGGUCGACACUAGAAAGAUCGUGCGUGGUCAUCACACGAGAAGAACGUCAGCGUUCGUGCGUGCCUGUGCCGCAUUCUGUUUCAUCACUAUCCCAUCGUUGACUCUGGUCCACACGCGUCUUCAAUUGUAUCUAUUAUCCGGACAAGUGGCUCUCUUGAAUCAGUGUCUGGGCCAAGCCGAUGCCUGUUUCAAGGCGGCUUUGAGCUUGGUUCCGGAAAUGCCAAAGACCAUCGACAUCGACGGCAGACAGAAGAGCUCACAGCCGUAUUUACUCUCGUAUCUGUCAAAUUUCUUGUCGACGUUGCUGGUGGUCCCGGAUAGCCCGGAGCAUGGUGUCUUGUAUCUGAUGAGAGGAUUGCUCAACGCAGUUCAACGUUGUUUUGAAGAAAACACUUCGACCAAGUCGUACUUGUAUUUGCGCGUACUAGAUCUGCUGUCGACGGUCGCUCAGGAAAAUUAUCCUUACCAUAUCGAUAAGGUCGAUUCGAACGAUAAGUUGUAUGGAUCUGAUCAGAAAUUCAUCGGUGAGGUCAAUAAAAUUUGUUCGAAAAUCGUGGAAGAAAUUUUGAGUCAUCUCAAGCAUCUCGGGUCCAUUGAUCAAUUUGAUAAGCAAUCUGCCCUGGCGCUCGAAUUGUUCAACUGUUUCAUCAUUCGUGCGGAUCUACGGGAACCUGCGUUAGCGAAUAUGGCUGUAAAUUUGUGGAACUUAUCACAACGCCACGGUUCAGUGGAUCCGAAAGUGACUAUGAGGACGAAGGCUUACAUGAUGCAAAAGAGUCAUCAUCACGAGUACGAGCACUUUUCCGACAUACUCAGGAAAAUGUCUAGGUGAAUAAUAUCGGCUGGGACAUUUCGAUAACACACAGUUUCGAUGCGUUUUGAUUCACUUUUAUUGGCAGUUUUCUCGGAAGACAUUUUUUGAUCAUGCAGUAAAUUUCCCGAUUGUAUUAGUGAAACUAAUUAUAACGAACAAUCAAAUUCGAAUAUAGAUUGAUCACUUCGCAAAAGUUGAACACGAAGAAUGAACUAAAUGCAAGGCUAGAACGGAGCGCGUCCAAAAAUAUAUCGGCGUGACGCUGCGUGAAAGUUAACGCAGGCCUGAGUCGCACAGCUUGUUUGCCGCAGCCGCCCGCUUGGAUGCCUAACGACAGCAGGAAGAGCGUACGAGAACGUGAAACAGUGCUUUUAGCUUUUAGCGCGUAGAUCUUACGUUACGGUUAUACUUCACCUUUGAUUUGAAGCUUCUUGAUGAGAGCGUCUCGAAAUUCAGGUGAAGCGCAAUUAAACGCUAUGAAUGUCCCGCGUCCACGUACCGCGCUUAUUGCGGAAUUCUCCUUUUGCAUAUCCUUUAAAUGUUUCAUCAUGUAGUCGCCGACGCGCGUUACCCUGUCCAAGAGAUUCUCCUUGUUUAUCACAUCGAGGAUCGCUUCCAGCAAGACCAUCUUGCUAGGAUCGCCCAUCCAAGUGUUGAACACGCGAUACGAUUGCUUCGGCCUGUACGGUCGUACGAUGUUUAAUUCGUUGCGCGUGUUUUAAUUAUUUGAAAAGCAAAUCAUCAGAUUGACGUGAAAGGAAUGCUCACUUGAAAGCUUCUGUGUGAUAAUAGCCGCCUAAUUGCAUCUUCUUACUGAAGGUCACCAAAUCCGGCGAACCGUCUAGAUUGAAGUGUUCGUGGCACCACAUCUUCCCCGUUGGGCCACCACCGGUCUGCACUUCAUCGAUAAGUAACGCCGCACCGUUCUAAAAUAUUAAAGUUAAAUAACACAACGUUAAAAUCUUGCAAUAUUUUAAAUUCGAUAAUUUAAUCUAAUAAUGACGAUACUUAUGCUUUAACAGCUGUGCGUUACCUUUCGAGUUAUGCGUUGCAAUUCCCGAAAGAACUCCGGCGACGCAUGAUUGUCACCGCCUUCCGCUUGAAUAGGCUCGAUUAUCACACCAGCCACUGGUGUUUUCUUCUCCUUCUUAUACUUCUCAAACAAUUCCUCGACCUGAAACAUCAUAUAGCUGUCAGACUCUCUUCUCGCGUUUCGAGAAAUCUUUUAAAAAAGCAGCUUGAUAUGAUACCUCCGCGAGACAACGCUUGUCUUCCUGCUGAUUAUGCCGCACGUACUCUUCUAAAGGAUAUUUGUAAUCGGGAAAGGAAGCGAUAGGCCAGUCGAAGGCUGGUAUAUCCAUCUUAUGAAUGUAUUUGCUAUGAGUAGUCGAUAGAGUGCCCAGAGUUCUACCGUGGAAGGCUCCUAUUGUCGUCAAAUAUAUAUUAGAAAAGCAAAA
Molecule: RNA transcript, 4385 nt
Organism: Odontomachus brunneus
Lineage: Eukaryota; Metazoa; Arthropoda; Insecta; Hymenoptera; Formicidae
Gene name: VPS35 endosomal protein sorting factor-like
Exons: 19
Source: RefSeq, a predicted model, not a curated record